UGUUAACUGCGAUUCACUUCGCGCCGGAGCGAUAAAAUCGAACGAGAUCGAGAUGUUCGAUAUAUGAUGGCGUUCGAUAUAUAACGAAAUUCAUUCGAGAUCUACUUCAAACAGUACUACGUAGCGUAAACGGUGUUGAACGUGAUCGCGCUGUCUUAUACUUAUAUCUAAUACGACAAAUAACAGUUUGAAUGCAAAUCUUAAGAUUGGAAUGCUACGUUAUCUGAUUUUCAAUCGGAAAGAUAUCCAAACGUAACGUCUUACCACGGGUGACGAUGGCCUCGUCAGCGCUCCUGAACGAGUCUCGAGGAGGACGAUAGCAACGGGAGAAUCGGCGGUGCGACGAGGAAGAUCCCGAUCGUGUAAACUCGCGACGGAAUCGCCGUUGGUAGACGUACUGGGUGGUGGGCAGGGGUCGGCAGGGGCGAGCCGCGUAUGAAAGAGCGAGACGGGACGCGCCGUUUCUCUUUUCCCGAAGGUUCGAGCGCGACAAGGACGCAUCGACGAAACGAUACGAGCGCCACCGAACUCGUUCGAGACGCGCCGGACAGCGAUCGUAGGAGGAAGACGGAGCUUGCGGAGGCUGCGGAGAAGAGAGGAAAGCUCUGCCGUGUCGGAAGGGUAGCGCAACGCAGACGGAAACGGCGGAGACGGCGGAGGGAGCACAAAAGAGAAAGGGAGAAAGAGAAUGCCUCCCGCUGCCAAGCUGACCACCGACCCUCUACGAAGAUCUCCUAUUUGUCGAUAUGCUGUAGCAGUUCAUAGAAGAGCAUCGAGCAGAAGUAAUCCGAGAUUCUUAGGAUAACUACGAUAUGAUACAGACAAAAAGACGCACAAGGAAGCACCGCGUAUUUGAUGAAGAUGACCGAACAAAAACGUGAACUCGCAAUCGUUAGAACGACGGAUGAAUCUCGUGCAUGUCUGGCGGACGUACCGUGGUAAAGGGACAUUGUAAAUUCAGGGACGGUACUGCAAACCUUCCUGGUACGCACGUACGCAUUCAUGCACGUAUGCACGCGUGCACGUCCGUUCUUUCGCGGACAGAUGAAAAAGACGGGAAAUGAGAUGUGCUUCGAGCUUGUAGCCCUCUUGCAGAGAUGACCAGUAAUUUGUUAAAGGAUUGACGUCUCGGAAAUUGGAUAUUAAACGAAUUCUUUUUUCCUCUUG
Long non-coding RNA from Acromyrmex echinatior (Panamanian leafcutter ant), 1167 nucleotides. The record is from RefSeq and is a predicted model, not a curated record. Lineage: Eukaryota; Metazoa; Arthropoda; Insecta; Hymenoptera; Formicidae.